This 471-nucleotide ribosomal RNA is filed under the name uncultured bacterium. Its description in RNAcentral is "bacterial SSU rRNA". It matches the Rfam family "Bacterial small subunit ribosomal RNA", at positions 355 to 825 of the family's 1533-position model. The record is from RNAcentral.
UGGGGAAUUUUGGACAAUGGGGGCAACCCUGAUCCAGCCAUGCCGCGUGAGUGAAGAAGGCCUUCGGGUUGUAAAGCUCUUUCGGCGGGGACGAAACGGUCCGUGACAACACCACGGACUAAUGACAGUACUCGCAGAAGAAGCACCGGCUAACUACGUGCCAGCAGCCGCGGUAAUACGUAGGGUGCGAGCGUUAAUCGGAAUUACUGGGCGUAAAGCGUGCGCAGGCGGCGACAUAAGACAGAUGUGAAAUCCCCGGGCUCAACCUGGGAACUGCGUUUGUGACUGUGUUGCUAGAGUGUAGCAGAGGGGGGUGAAUUCCACGUGUAGCAGUGAAAUGCGUAGAGAUGUGGAGGAACACCGAUGGCGAAGGCAGCCCCCUGGGUUAACACUGACGCUCAUGCACGAAAGCGUGGGGAGCAAACAGGAUUAGAUACCCGAGUAGUCCCUGAGCGGGCUGGCAAGGCGCAU